Cygnus olor (mute swan) is the source of this 455-nucleotide long non-coding RNA. RefSeq lists it as uncharacterized. Lineage: Eukaryota; Metazoa; Chordata; Aves; Anseriformes; Anatidae. The record is from RefSeq and is a predicted model, not a curated record. The transcript is spliced from 4 exons.
UGGAAGUACAAUUACUGUGACCUUUUGUCAGGUGCCUGCAGUGUUUCCAAUAUAAAUUCCCUGCUCUGAGGAAGAUCCUGCAGCAGUGCUGUGUCCCAUGCAAGUUACAACCAUUCAACUACUGGUGCACUACUUACAUGGGAGAAGAAGGCAGCUGGGACCAUGAUCUAGAUAUCAUUACCACUUACUUUUGACAGAAAGCUCUCCAGGACAGGAUCUGCAGUUAGGAGUGAAGACGUCCAGCCACCAUCCUGAGCAAAGAAUGUGGCGCUCAAUAACUACUCAAGGCUCACCAUAAACCACCUCUUUUCAUCCAAGGACCCCAACAAGAAGCUUAAAGCAUGCACGUCUCCUUCCAAGCCAAACAUGCCAACAUACUUGCACUCCAGGAGGGUCAGGCAGAGCAGAAAGUCUUGCUGGUACCAGGUCUGAACAAGGAGGAGAGACCCUGUUGA